RNAcentral lists this unclassified non-coding RNA (1393 nucleotides) under uncultured Neocallimastigales. RNAcentral's name for it is "partial contains small subunit ribosomal RNA, internal transcribed spacer 1, 5.8S ribosomal RNA, internal transcribed spacer 2, and large subunit ribosomal RNA". The stretch from base 641 to 1393 matches the Rfam family "Eukaryotic large subunit ribosomal RNA", at positions 1 to 629 of the family's 3401-position model. Lineage: Eukaryota; Fungi; Neocallimastigomycota; Neocallimastigomycetes; Neocallimastigales. The record is from RNAcentral.
UGGAAGUAAAGUCGUAACAAGGUUUCCGUAGGUGAACCUGCGGAAGGAUCAUUAAUAAAUUUUUUAGGUUGAAAUUUGAAACCUAAAAUAUAAUAAUCCUACCCUUUGUGAAUUUGUUGUUUGAAAUAAUUUUUAAAAAAAUUAUUUAUAGUUCUGUCUAUCCUGAGUUGUAAGAGAAGUAAUUCUUGAAGACUUAGGAAUAGGCUUUAUCUAUAAAUAAUAUUUUAAAGACUUUUUUAAAUUAAACUUUGUAUUCAUUUUCUAAAUUUAUUUUAAUAAUUUAAAAACAACUUUGACAAUGGAUCUCUUGGUUCUCGCAACGAUGAAGAACGCAGCAAAUGCGAUAAGUAAUGUGAAUUGCAGAAUACGUGAAUCAUCAAUCUUCGAACGCAUAUUGCACUUUUUAGUUUACUAAAAAGUAUGUCUGUUUGAGUAUCAGUAAAUAUUCUCAUAAAAAUUAUUUUUUUAUGGUUUUGAGUGUUUUACAACGAUACAAGUUGUUUCACUUUAAAUUGACUUUAAAUUGCCUAUUAAUUUAGUCAAUUUUAAAUUGCAUAAAAUUUCCCGUAAAAGGAAUACUAUCGAUUUUAAAAUUAACUGAUAUUAAAAGCCUUGAUAAAAGGAAAUUUAAUUAAAUACUUGAUCUCAAAUCAGAUAAGAGUACCGCUGAACUUAAGCAUAUCAAUAAGCGGAGGAAAAGAAACUAACAAGGAUUCCCCUAGUAACGGCGAGUGAAGCGGGAAGAGCUCAAAUUUGAAAUCUUCAAGGUUUGACCUUGACGAAUUGUAGUUUAAAGAAGUGUUUUCGGUUAGAGGAGUGGUAAAGUUCUUUGGAAUAGGACAUCAUAGAGGUGAGAAUCCGUAUUUGACCAUUCUUCUAGCUUUGAUACACUUUCAAAGAGUCGGAUUGUUUGGGAAUGCAGUCCAAAAUGGGUGGUAAAUUUCAUCUAAGCUAAAUAUUGGCGAGAGACGAUAGCGAACAAGUACGUGAGGAAAGAUGAAAAGAACUUUGAAAAGAGAGUUAACAGUACGUGAAAUGUCAAAAGGGAAGCGUUUGACACCAGUGUGUUUUCCGAAAAUCAAUUAAAAUAAAUUCAUGCCAGUUGUAUUGACCUUAUCAGCUUGCAAUUUGGUUUUGGUUUCUUUUGAUGCACUUUCGGUUAACAAGUCAACAUCAAUUUCCUUUGCUGUAAAAGGGCAGGAGGAAGUGGCUUCAAUUUCGGUUGAAGUGUUUAUAGCCUUCUGUCUCUGCAGUCGGGAGAUUGAGUCUGCAGCGUAGAUCCUUCGGGUUAGAUACAUUCGUGCUAAGUUAUAGCCUUUUAUAGACAACUUGUUGACUAUGAUCGUCAUGUAAUUACUCGCGAGUGCUAUUUACCUACGCUUAGGAUGUUGAA